This is an RNA transcript of Cornus florida, 2352 nucleotides long. It is a transcript of the gene named basic leucine zipper 23-like, with no coding region annotated. Lineage: Eukaryota; Viridiplantae; Streptophyta; Magnoliopsida; Cornales; Cornaceae. The record is from RefSeq and is a predicted model, not a curated record. The transcript is spliced from 4 exons.
AGAGACAGUAAUGUAUGUAAUGCCAUAGAAUCUUUUGAUUGAUUCAACUAAUGGCUCCUCAAUUUCUUUACCGCCAUUGAAAUGCUGCCAUGUAUAUCAAUCCUUUUUAGCCUUUAUUAGGGUUUCUUAUCUCCAUCACUGUCUCUCUCAAUCAACACCUUCUCCUCGUGUUUAGGGUUUCAAAUUCGAUUUCAUCAUCUUUCAUCGAACAGCUUUGUGCCCAAAAAAAAAAAAUCCAAUCGCAGCGAUUUGACUUUAUUAAGUUGCUUUGUGCUUUUGAUACUUUGUGGGGUAUCAAUGGGUUUCGGUGGUUGUCAACACCCAUUUUGAAAUAGCUAAUACCUAUCAAGAAAUUGAGUAUCUACAUCGCAAAUUUUUAUCCGUGUCCGAUCAGAAUUUCAAAUUUUUUUUUUUCUGUUUACUUUCUUUGUUUCUUCAUAAUGGACGACGGGGAGCUUGAUUUCUCAAACCAAGAACUGUUUUCAAGCUCCAGCCUUGGUAAUCUCCCAAGUAGUUGCUCUAUGGACAGCAUUUUCGAUGAUAUUCUUAAUGACACACAUGCCUGCACUCAUACCCAUACUUGCAAUCCACCGGGCCCUGAUUUCUCUCAUACACACACUUGUUUUCAUGUUCACACCAAAAUUUUACCUGCCACGCCCGAGGAUAAGGUUGCUACCGAUGAUACUGCAGAGUCUGCAGAGAAGAAAUCAAAGAAACGCCCACUGGGAAAUCGUGAAGCGGUUCGCAAGUAUCGUGAGAAGAAGAAGGCUCGUACUGCAUCAUUAGAGGAUGAAGUUGUUAGAUUGAGGUCAUUGAAUCAGCAGUUGUUGAAGAGGUUGCAGGGUCAGGCUGCUUUGGAGGCCGAGAUUGCAAGGCUCAAGUGUUUGCUUGUGGACAUACGAGGAAGGAUUGAAGGGGAGAUUGGAUCUUUCCCUUAUCAGAAGCAGGCCAAUCAAAACCUGGCUAAUUCAAACUUGCCCGGUGCAUAUGUGAUAAAUCCGUGUAAUAUGCAAUGUAAUGAUCAGGUCUACUGCCUUCAUCCAGGGGUGGAAGGAAAAAGUGGUGAAGGUACAGCAUCAGACAGUCAAGGCUUUGAUAAUUGUGAAUUUGAGAAUAUGCAAUGCCUUGGGAACAUGAUUUCUGGGUUGAAGGAGCUCCCUGGUUGUGGAAUUGGGAAUAUAACAUCUACAGUCAAUUCUUCUGGCACCAAUAAGAAGAAAGGAGGGGCUCGUGCUGCAAUGGCUAGUUAAAGAGCUAAUCAGAUGCUUUGUUCUUGAGGAUGUUUAUCGUCUCCCAAUAAGUGGUUUUGUUAAACUUCAAUGUCAUCUUCUCAUCAGAAUUUAGGGAAGGUGGGGGAUCUCUUCCAUGUUACACUGCUAUAGCUGUGAGCAAUUUCAUAUUUGAUUAUUGGGUUCUGAACAGGUGAGUUACAAAUCGUACUUCCUGAGACCCAAACUUGUGAUGUGUGUUGAAUGCUGGCUCACAUAGUUUCCAUCUCCUGUUAUUUUAUUUUACUUCAAAUGCAAAUAACUGUAAAAAGUUGCUUCUGCCUUUAUUAUUUUGCUUUGCGAAGGAUGCCAAAUUUUCAUCUGGAAGCAUUGCUUUUGAACCGACGAUUGUUGCAAAAGUAGUCACUUGUGUGCCUCAACUCGCAGACAGUGACUGAUGCAACUGACUAAGAAGAUUAUCCCGGGGGGGCCUUCUCAUUAUCACUGGGGCGGAUAUUGAAGAUGGCAAGAAAAGGGUUUUCUUGUGCUCGUCUAAUAUGGAAUUGAUUUGCUUGAUGGCAAUGUGUUGGUUACAAUAUGGAGCAGUAGGUUUUUCGAUGAUCGUGAAUUUUUAAUGAUGAUCAUCUCUAGAAUACUAUACUUCCGAUAAUUCUUUCAAUACUUUUAUAAAAAUCAAGCAGUAGCUGUUCCGAUUUUUCGUGGUAGAUGACACAUUCCUCCAGAUUUUCUUGAAGUAGCUUUCUCCUUUGCCCACAAAUAACUACCAGGAGAAGUCAUCUGUUUUUCAAUAUGUUUUUGGGAAAGUGCGAUCAUAUAAAGUUCAAUCGUGUUAAAGAUUUUUGACUGGAGAGUUUUAGGUUUUCAAAAUGUGCAUUGGUGAGAAUUUAAUGAACUUCACCUUCAAAAUCCUUCAGAUUACACCCACUUAUUUUAUGUCCCAAGUGCUUUGCAAUAUGUUGAGAUUGAGUUGUUCAUUCAGCUGACAAGCCUGUCAUGAAGAAUGCACUGAACUUGCAACUUUCUUCUGUUUGAUGGAUGCAUUCACUUCCCUACUAAACCCAUAAUUUUCUUCUGUUUGUACAAUGAUGGAUCUGGUGACUUGUAAUGCUAUGUUUGGAAGUAC